Molecule: non-coding RNA, 205 nt
Filed under: Mus musculus (house mouse)
Lineage: Eukaryota; Metazoa; Chordata; Mammalia; Rodentia; Muridae
Source: RNAcentral
GAGGACCGUAUUCAUGGAAGAGGAUUGAACAGUAAAGAACCCAGCAAUUGGUAAAGAUGAGAAUAUAUCGCCUCAAGUAAAAGGAGAUGAAGACAUGGGAGAUGAAAUUGACAGUAUGUUGGCUACAUCUGGAGCUGCAUCAUUGGACUGAAAGUGAAUGGCCCAUGUGUUGCCACUGAUGUGAGCCAUUUGCCUGUUGUGCUUC